This 468-nucleotide ribosomal RNA is filed under the name uncultured bacterium. RNAcentral describes it as "partial 16S ribosomal RNA". It matches the Rfam family "Bacterial small subunit ribosomal RNA", at positions 28 to 507 of the family's 1533-position model. The record is from RNAcentral.
GACGAACGCUGGCGGCGUGCUUAACACAUGCAAGUCGAACGGAAAGGCCCUGCUUUUGUGGGGUGCUCGAGUGGCGAACGGGUGAGUAACACGUGAGUAACCUGCCCUUGACUUUGGGAUAACUUCAGGAAACUGGGGCUAAUACCGGAUAGGAGCUCCUGCUGCAUGGUGGGGGUUGGAAAGUUUCGGCGGUUGGGGAUGGACUCGCGGCUUAUCAGCUUGUUGGUGGGGUAGUGGCUUACCAAGGCUUUGACGGGUAGCCGGCCUGAGAGGGUGACCGGCCACAUUGGGACUGAGAUACGGCCCAGACUCCUACGGGAGGCAGCAGUGGGGAAUAGUGCACAAUGGGCGGAAGCCUGAUGCAGCAACGCCGCGUGCGGGAUGACGGCCUUCGUGUUGUAAACCGCUUUCAGCUGUGACGAAGCGUGAGUGACGGUAAUGGGUAAAGAAGCACCGGCUAACUACGUG